Non-coding RNA from Brachypodium distachyon (stiff brome), 3273 nucleotides. The record is from Rfam. Lineage: Eukaryota; Viridiplantae; Streptophyta; Magnoliopsida; Poales; Poaceae.
CGACCCCAGUCAGCGGGACUACCCGCUGAGUUUAAGCAUAUAAUAAGCGGAGGAGAAGAAACUACAAGGAUCCCCUAGUAACGGCGAGCGAACCGGAGCAGCCCAGCUUGAGAUCGGGCGGCCGUGCCGUCCGAAUGUAGUCUGGAGAGGCGUCUCAGCGACGGACCGGGCCCAAGUCCCCUGGAAGGGGCGCCUGGGAGGGUGAGAGCCCGUCCGGCCCGGACCCUGUCGCCCACGAGGCGCCGUCAACGAGUCGGGUUGUUUGGGAAUGCAGCCCAAAUCGGCGGUAGACUCCGUCCAAGGCUAAUACAGGCGAGAGACCGAUAGCGAACAAGUACCGCGAGGGAAGAUGAAAAGGACUUUGAAAAGAGAGUCAAAGAGUGCUGAAAUGCCGGGAGGGAAGCGGAUGGGGGCCGGCGAUGCGUCCUGGCCGUAUGCGGAACGGCUUUGCUGGUCCGCCGCUCGGCUCGGGGCGUGGACUGUGUCGGCCGUGCUGGCGGCCCAAGCCCGGGGUCUUAGGUGCCCCCGGUGGCCGUCGUUGGCACGGCCGGUACCCGCGCGCCGCAAGGCGUGUCCUCGGGGCACUGCGCUGCAACGGCCUGCGGGCUCCCCAUCCGACCCGUCUGAAACACGGACCAAGGAGUCUGACAUGCGUGCGAGUCGACGGGUUCUGAAACUGGGAUGCGCAAGGAAGCUGACGAGCGGAGGCCCUCACGGGCCGCACCGCUGCCGACCCUGAUCUUCUGUGAAGGGUUCGAGUUGGAGCACGCCUGUCGGACCCGAAAGAUGGUGAACUAUGCUGAGCGGGGCGAAGCCAGAGGAACUCUGGUGGAGGCUCGAAGCGAUACUGACGUGCAAUCGUUCGUCUGACUUGGUAUAGGGGCGAAAGACUAAUCGACCAUCUAGUAGCUGGUUCCCUCCGAAGUUCCCUCAGGAUAGCUGGAGCCCAUACGAGUCUAUCAGGUAAGCCAAUGAUUAGAGGCAUCGGGGGCGCACGCCCUCGACCUAUUCUCAAACUUUAAUAGGUAGGACGGCGCGGCUGCUCCGGUGAGCCGCGCCAUGGAAUCGGGAGCUCCAAGUGGGCCAUUUUUGGUAAGCAGAACGGCGAUGCGGGAUGAACCGGAAGCCGGGUUACGGUGCCCAACUGCGCGCUAACCUAGAACCCACAAAGGGUGUUGGUCGAUUAAGACAGCAGGACGGUGGUCAUGGAAGUCGAAAUCCGCUAAGGAGUGUGUACAACUCACUGCCGAAUCAACUAGCCCCGAAAAUGGAUGGCGCUAAAGCGCGCGACCCACACCGGCCAUCUGGGCGAGCGCCAUGCCCCGAUGAGUAGGAGGGCGCGGCGGCCGCUGCAAACCCGGGGCGCGAGCCCGGGCGGAGCGGCCGUCGUGCAGAUCUUGGUGGUAGUAGCAAUAUUCAAAUGAGAACUUGAAGGCCGAAGAGAGAAAGGUUCAUGUGAACGGCACUUGCACAUGGGUAAGCCGAUCUAAGGGACGGGGUAACCCCGGCAGAUAGCGCGAUCACGCGUAUCCCCGAAAGGGAAUCGGGUUAAGAUUUCCCGAGCCGGGAUGUGCGUUGACGCGACGUUAGGAAGUCCGGAGACGCGGCGGGGCCUCGGGAAGAGUUAUCUUUCUGCUUAACGGCUGCCAACCCUGGAAUCGGUUCAGCGGAGGUAGGGUCCAGUGGCCGGAAGAGCACCGCACGUCGCGCGUGUCCGGUGCGCCCCGGCGGCCCAUGAAAAUCCGGAGACCGAGUACCGUUCACGCCCGGUCGUACUCAUAACCGCAUCAGUCUCCAGGUGAACAGCCUCUGGCCAAUGGAACAAUGUAGGCAAGGAAGUCGGCAAAACGGAUCCGUACUUCGGGAAAAGGAUGGCUCUGAGGACUGGGCUCGGGGGUCCGGCCCCAAACCCGUCGGCUGUCGGCGGAUUGCUCGAGCUGCUCACGCGCGAGAGCGGGUCGCGCGUGCCGGCCGGGGACGGACCGGGAGUCGCCCUUCGGGGGCUUUCCCCGAGCGCUGAACAGUCGACUCAGAACUGGUACGGACAAGGGAAUCCGACUGUUUAAUUAAACAAGCAUUGCGAUGGUCCUCGCGGAUGCUGACGCAAUGUGAUUUCUGCCAGUGCUCUGAAUGUCAAAGUGAAGAAAUCAACCAAGCGCGGGUAACGGCGGGAGUACUAUGACUCUCUUAAGGUAGCCAAAUGCUCGUCAUCUAAUUAGUGACGCGCAUGAUGGAUUAACGAGAUUCCCACUGUCCCUGUCUACUAUCCAGCGAAACCACAGCCAAGGAACGGGCUUGGCGGAAUCAGCGGGAAAGAAGACCUGUUGAGCUUGACUCUAGUCCGACUUUGUGAAUGACUUGAGAGGUGUAGGAUAAGUGGGAGCCUUUACGGGCGCAAGUGAAUACACUACUUUAACGUUAUUUACUUAUUCCGUGGGUCGGAGCGGGGCAAGUCCCUCCUUUGGCUCCAGGCCCGGUCUGACCGGGCCGAUCCGGGCGGAGACAUUGUCAGUGGGGAGUUUGGCUGGGGCGGCACAUCUGUUAAAGAUAACGCAGGUGUCCUAAGAUGAGCUCAACGAGACAGAAUCUCGUGUGGAACAAAAGGUAAAAGCUCGUUUGAUUCUGAUUUCCAGUACGAUACGAACCGUGAAAGCGUGGCCUAUCGAUCCUUUAGAUCUUCGGAGUUGAAGCUAGAGGUGUCAGAAAAGUACCACAGGGAUAACUGGCUGUGGCAGCCAAGCGUCAUAGCGACGUUGCUUUUUGAUCCUUCGAUGUCGGCUCUUCCUAUCAUGUGAAGCAGAAUUCACCAAGUGUUGGAUUGUCACCCACCAAUAGGGAACGUGAGCUGGGUUAGACCGUCGUGAGACAGUUAGUUUUACCCUACUGAUGACCGUGCCGCGAUAGUAAUUCAACUAGUACGAGAGGAACCGUUGAUCACACAAUUGGUCAUCGCGCUUGGUGAAAAGCCAGUGGCGCGAAGCUACCGUGUGCCGGAUUAUGACUGAACGCCUCUAGUCAGAAUCCAAGCUAGCAAGCGGCGCUGCGCCCGCCGCCUGCCCCGACCCACGUUAGGGCGCUUGCGCCCCCAAGGCACGUGCCAUUGGCUAAGCCGUUCCGGCCGACGAGCCGCGUCCGGCCGCCUCGAAGCUCCUUCCCCACGGGCGGCGGGCUGAAUCCUUUGCAGACGACUUAAUACGCGACGGGGCAUUGUAAGUGGCAGAGUGCCUUGCUGCCACGAUCCACUGAGAUCCAGCCCACGUCGCACGGAUUCGU